RNAcentral lists this long non-coding RNA (873 nucleotides) under Citrus x clementina. Its description in RNAcentral is "Citrus clementina (C. clementina) long non-coding RNA (CCLE_LNC005326)". Lineage: Eukaryota; Viridiplantae; Streptophyta; Magnoliopsida; Sapindales; Rutaceae. The record is from RNAcentral.
GACCACUGAUGGCUGAUGUUGUCCAGUCACUAGUCCCGCUGGUGAAAUACAACCGGUCAACUCCAAAGAUAAGCAGCUCCCCGAGCUUCCAUGCCUCCAGGUCACCUGCAUUUCCAGAUAAAGUAGGUGAUUGAAACUAAAGUAUAACCUAUCUCAGUCAGUGCAUCUCCUUUUAGCUAAAUUGGAAACUUGCCUAUUUCUUGUUAUUUGGGCCUUUUAUUACAGUCUUCAGCAAUCUGCAUGCAGAAAAACUAGUACUUUAGCUUAUGAAUGCUAAUUAUCUUCAAGUGGGUAUGGUGAAAUUUUAAUCAGCUGUAUUAGAGCAUCUCCAAAGAUAAGCAGCUCCCCGAGCUUCCAUGCCUCCAGGUCACCUGCAUUUCCAGAUAAAGUAGGUGAUUGAAACUAAAGUAUAACCUAUCUCAGUCAGUGCAUCUCCUUUUAGCUAAAUUGGAAACUUGCCUAUUUCUUGUUAUUUGGGCCUUUUAUUACAGUCUUCAGCAAUCUGCAUGCAGAAAAACUAGUACUUUAGCUUAUGAAUGCUAAUUAUCUUCAAGUGGGUAUGGUGAAAUUUUAAUCAGCUGUAUUAGAGCAUCUCCAAAGAUAAGCAGCUCCCCGAGCUUCCAUGCCUCCAGGUCACCUGCAUUUCCAGAUAAAGUAGGUGAUUGAAACUAAAGUAUAACUUAUCUCAGUCAGUGCAUCUCCUUUUAGCUAAAUUGGAAACUUGCCUAUUUCUUGUUGUUUGGGCAUUUUAUUACAGUCUUCAGCAAUCUGCAUGCAGAAAAACUAGUACUUUAGCUUAUGAAUGCUAAUUAUCUUCUAAGUGGGUAUGGUGAAAUUUUAAUCAGCUGAAUUAGAGCAUCUCCAAAAGUCUCU